This 456-nucleotide ribosomal RNA is filed under the name uncultured bacterium. Its description in RNAcentral is "bacterial SSU rRNA". It matches the Rfam family "Bacterial small subunit ribosomal RNA", at positions 355 to 818 of the family's 1533-position model. The record is from RNAcentral.
UGGGGAAUAUUGCACAAUGGGGGAAACCCUGAUGCAGCGACGCAGCGUGCGGGAUGACGGCCUUCGGGUUGUAAACCGCUUUCAGCAGGGGAAGAAGCCUUAGGGUGACGGUACCUGCAGAAGAAGUACCGGCUAACUACGUGCCAGCAGCCGCGGUAAUACGUAGGGUACGAGCGUUGUCCGGAAUUAUUGGGCGUAAAGAGCUCGUAGGUGGUUGGUCACGUCUGCUGUGGAAACGCAACGCUUAACGUUGCGCGUGCAGUGGGUACGGGCUGACUAGAGUGCAGUAGGGGAGUCUGGAAUUCCUGGUGUAGCGGUGAAAUGCGCAGAUAUCAGGAGGAACACCGGUGGCGAAGGCGGGACUCUGGGCUGUAACUGACACUGAGGAGCGAAAGCAUGGGGAGCGAAACAGGAUUAGGAUACCCUGGUAGUCCAUGCCGUAAACGUUGGGCACUA